RNAcentral lists this unclassified non-coding RNA (157 nucleotides) under uncultured Orbiliales. RNAcentral describes it as "sequence contains ITS2". Lineage: Eukaryota; Fungi; Ascomycota; Orbiliomycetes; Orbiliales. The record is from RNAcentral.
CAACUCCUUCAACGAAAAAGUUGGUUAUAGGUUCUGUUUUAACAGGCUUUAAAGUUGUAUGCUCUGCAGGCUGCUUUGCCAAACCAAAACAUAGUAUCAAUUUCUUUGUUUCUAGUGAGGCUUUGCAAGCUCUGCCUGAAUAAAAAUCUUUCUUAAG